Molecule: long non-coding RNA, 1070 nt
Organism: Neopsephotus bourkii (Bourke's parrot)
Lineage: Eukaryota; Metazoa; Chordata; Aves; Psittaciformes; Psittacidae
Exons: 3
Source: RefSeq, a predicted model, not a curated record
CCUGCCCUUAGUGACUAGAGCAUCAUCCUACCAGCAAAUUCCAGCUGCCCUCUAUAUCCCCCUAGCUGCCAGGUCUCAGAUUUCCCCCAGACAGCGCUUGGUGGUGGUGUGCAUUAUCAGCUCUUCUGUCUUUGCCUGGAGUUUGAGGACAAUGUAACAGUAGUUGAACCUGGUAUCACAACAAAUAAACAGGAGAGGAUCCAGGUCCUUCAGUGUCUUCUGUGGGAGGAACAUAUCCCACAUGGCAUCUUCUGUGGUUAAGUAACAGGCUCCAGCAAGGAGCAGAGCUUGGCUUCUCUCAAAGAAGAUGCUGGAUGUGGCCCCUCUCAAUCUAGGAAUCUUCCACUUCAGGGCUCAGAAAGAGGAAGGGAAAUUCUGAAUUCCGUGCCCAGAAAGGUCAAGAGCAGCAAAUGAGAAGAAAAUGAGCUCCAAGCUGGAGGGUCCCUCCAAGAGUGCCCUGGCUGAGGCAGGAGAUGAACAGCACCAUCACAGCAGGCUGCAGGCCCUUAAGGGGCUGGGCAGAAGUCUAAAAGGGGUCAGUAGUUUUUCAACUAAAAAUCAGGCCAAAUGGGGUUAAUUUUGUGAGGCUGCUGCUGGAGAGCUCAGGCUCUGCUUUUGUAGCACAGUGCACGAGCUGCUUAACCCAGUAUUCCUCUCCUCCUCCUCACGCCUACUAUCCAAUACCGAAAUGAGACAUCAUCUCCUGUAGCAGCUAUUAAUAUAGCAACACAAAAAGCACCCUGGGAAGGUGUUUUCCCAGUAAGCUAGAACAUCCCUUCACCUCCCCACAUCUGGCACCACUGUGGCCUAAGUGAAACACAGGAGCUGUGCAACACCAGGCAUUAAUGUUGCUUUCAGCUGACAGCAUGAACCAUCCCCUGGGACUCCACAAACCCUACGCAAGCCUUGUUCUAAGGCCCCGAAGCACUGAGUUGGAUGUUCCAACUCUCUCCUGUGUUCGGGUGCCUUGCAGACAUGUUAUGAGGACCUUUGCAUCCAGAAACAGAAACUGGAAAAAGCACUCAGCUGUCUCUGCUACAGCAUACAGGAAGAGAGGCAGAGUCUGGGGU